Molecule: ribosomal RNA, 446 nt
Filed under: Dolosigranulum pigrum
Lineage: Bacteria; Bacillati; Bacillota; Bacilli; Lactobacillales; Carnobacteriaceae
Description: bacterial SSU rRNA
Rfam family: Bacterial small subunit ribosomal RNA
Source: RNAcentral
GCUGGCGGCAUGCCUAAUACAUGCAAGUCGAACGAUGAUAUCACUGCUUGCAGUGAUUGAUUAGUGGCGAACGGGUGAGUAACACGUGAGGAACUUGCCCAUGAGCGGGGGACAACAUUCGGAAACGGAUGCUAAUACCCCAUAGGUGGAUUGGUCGCAUGACGAAUUCAUUAAAGGUGGCUUUGCUACCACUCAUGGAUAGCCUCGCGGCGUAUUAGCUAGUUGGUAAGGUAAUGGCUUACCAAGGCAGUGAUACGUAGCCGACUUGAGAGGGUGAUCGGCCACACUGGGACUGAGACACGGCCCAGACUCCUACGGGAGGCAGCAGUAGGGAAUCUUCCACAAUGGGUGCAAACCUGAUGGAGCAAUGCCGCGUGAGUGAAGAAGGUCUUCGGAUCGUAAAGCUCUGUUGUUAGAGAAGAACACGUGCUAGGUAACUACUAGCG